This 549-nucleotide unclassified non-coding RNA is filed under the name Hevea brasiliensis (rubber tree). The record is from RNAcentral. Lineage: Eukaryota; Viridiplantae; Streptophyta; Magnoliopsida; Malpighiales; Euphorbiaceae.
GUGUCAUGUUUGCCUUUCACUUUGCAUUUAGGUGUAAAAAUUUUGAUGGGUUUUGGGUUUUUCACAAUUUGAUAGCCUUGGAAUAUGAAAUUAAGUGUAGGAGGCACAAGAACUCGUUAGAGAUGAUGCCGAUGUUCUUCGUGUUCUGGAGCUGGUGGGCGGUGAUGGAUAUAUAAUUCCUUAAUUUAAAAGUGAACUAAUUUGCUCCCCUAAUUUAAAAAAUUAUAUCAAUUAAACACAAUUUUAUUUAGUCAGCUGUGAUAUGGAUAACACAUCAGAUGGGUUUUUGCUGCGUGCACAUUCGUGCAUUCCCUCUCCUCUUUGCAUGUGUUAAAAUGGUUUAAAAAAUGAAAGUUUGAAUAGUCAAUCUGUCAAUUUUUUUAAACUGAGGGGGCAAAUUGGUUCAUUUAUAAAUUAAGGGGGCAAAUUGACUUUUAAGUGAAAGUUCAAAAGGUGGGAUAUGCUUUUGCCCUAGUUUUUCUAGUCAACACUUAUUUUCCAGUAAUCUACUAUUAGUAGUAUUCUAGAAAUUAAUGGAUGCUCAACAAA